CGCCCACCGGGACCCGCUGCCUGUCCUCGGUAGGCAGGCGGCGGAGCCAGGAGUAGAACCCGGGUCCUUCUGAUUCCCGAGCCCGUGCUCUAUCCACCAGGCCACGUUAGUUCGCCUCCUUUCUUCAAGAAGAGAGCUGUCUGCUUAACGAAAAGGCCCUUUUCCCAGGGCUCGUUAGUAGCUCGGCGUGACGUGUUUAGAUGAUUAUGGAAAGAUAUGGAGAGUCACAUCUUAGCGGCCUUUUCACAGCCUCUACGGGCUCCAGCCACGGAAUACGAGAUUUCUUCUCGGAGCCCACUGAUCAUCCUCCCCCCGCCCCACGGAAGAGGACGUUUCGGCCGGCGAAACGGGAAACGCCUCCUCGCUGCACCUCGAUACGGUCAGGAUUAGAACCCGGGUCCUUCUGGCUUCCAGGCCCGAGCUCUAUCCACUAAGCUGCACGGCUUUCCGCGAGGCCGCGCCGCUUCAUUUCGCGAUCCUCGGAGAGAGGCCCGAUCAACGAAUACCUCGGAGCGACCGGAACGAGGCGGAGGGCUUCGCGGAGCAGCGGGAGUUCACGGCUUCGGGGGAGCCCAGGAACUCCUGGGUUCCGUUUUCAGCACGGGGCUGGGCUCCUUAAUCCCCCUCCGCGGCCACGCCCGACCUCGUAUCCACGAGGGAGCCGGGGAAAGGAGCCCAGUUUGGAGCGCUCAAUCCUCUCCUCAUCCUUCCCUAUCCCGACCGACCGGAUGGACCCCCGGGCAUCGUGGUCAACGUGCCCACCGCAAGCAACCGGCCCAGCAACGUGCCUAGCGACGGAGGACCCGUCGCUCUCUGCCCGAUUCCUCUCCAAGGGCGUUCCAACGCUCGGUACAGUUCUUGGAAAUACCACCGUCGUCAGCAUCGUCAUCAACUGGGCUCACUCCAGCGCAGGGAGAAAAUGAGGAAAAGAAAUGUUAAUUGGGAAAGGCCCUGGAUCGCGCUAUUGUCUCGAAUAGGCUUUCAAAGAGCGGCAAUUAUGUGAGGUUGAAUGUGUACUCUAUGGUCAGAAGACUCGAAACCGCGAAACGCCCCGAACUCCGAGUCCCGGGCGUGGGAAGGGGACUGCGUCCGACGAUUAGAGGGGGAGACAGACGUUUGAAAAACCAAUUUCCGGCUAGG
Ornithorhynchus anatinus (platypus) is the source of this 1140-nucleotide long non-coding RNA. RefSeq lists it as uncharacterized. Lineage: Eukaryota; Metazoa; Chordata; Mammalia; Monotremata; Ornithorhynchidae. The record is from RefSeq and is a predicted model, not a curated record. The transcript has 4 exons.